UACAGAGGGUGCGAGCGUUAAUCGGAAUUACUGGGCGUAAAGCGUGCGUAGGUGGUUGAUUAAGCUGGAUGUGAAAGCCCCGGGCUUAACCUGGGAACUGCAUUCAGGACUGGUUAACUCGAGUCUGGGAGAGGGUGGUGGAAUUUCCGGUGUAGCGGUGAAAUGCGUAGAUAUCGGAAGGAACAUCAGUGGCGAAGGCGACCGCCUGGCCUAAGACUGACACUGAGGCACGAAAGCGUGGGGAGCAAAC
RNAcentral lists this ribosomal RNA (250 nucleotides) under uncultured bacterium. RNAcentral's name for it is "partial 16S ribosomal RNA". It matches the Rfam family "Bacterial small subunit ribosomal RNA", at positions 524 to 773 of the family's 1533-position model. The record is from RNAcentral.